RNAcentral lists this ribosomal RNA (253 nucleotides) under uncultured bacterium. RNAcentral describes it as "partial 16S ribosomal RNA". It matches the Rfam family "Bacterial small subunit ribosomal RNA", at positions 524 to 776 of the family's 1533-position model. The record is from RNAcentral.
UACGGAGGGUGCAAGCGUUAUCCGGAUUCACUGGGUUUAAAGGGUGCGUAGGUGGAUAUGUAAGUCAGUGGUGAAAUCUCCAAGCUUAACUUGGAAACUGCCGUUGAUACUAUAUAUCUUGAAUGCUGUGGAGGUGAGCGGAAUAUGACAUGUAGCGGUGAAAUGCUUAGAUAUGACAUAGAACACCAAUUGCGAAGGCAGCUCCCUACACAGAUAUUGACGCUGAGGCACGAAAGCGUGGGGAUCAAACAGG